GCCGUGAGUGCGGCGAAACACCUCCAGCAGUCCGGUGCAUCUCCAGGUUCACAUGAGGACGCACACGGGGGAGAGACCGUACAAGUGUGAGCAGUGCGGGGUCACCUUCGCUCAUUCGAACGCGCUGCGACGCCACGUCAAGAACAUGCACACGAACGAGAGACCCCACCAGUGCAACGAGUGUGGUCGCGGCCUGGCAUCUCAUUAUCUCGUGACGUCCCUGUUCAGUGUCCAAUGAGCAGGCGAGCGUGCCGUCUUGAUUGGUCAUUUCUGAUGGUGGUGCAAUACCUCCAGUUGGAUCGAUGACCAGCAUGACUCAUGCCCUUUGGUGCAAUCUUAUAUUUAUUGUGCAACAAUAUCGAAGCCCAUUGCUAAGCAUUCACAAUUAGUUGGCAUAGAGCCAAUGAGCAAUUAAGUCUCAACACUAUUGCAUCUAUCAGAUUUUCAGUCUCAAAUUUCAGUCUUCAGUACAUGUAUUUGUGUGUUGAAUUACA
Long non-coding RNA from Priapulus caudatus, 494 nucleotides. RefSeq lists it as uncharacterized. The record is from RefSeq and is a predicted model, not a curated record. Lineage: Eukaryota; Metazoa; Priapulida; Priapulimorpha; Priapulimorphida; Priapulidae. The transcript is spliced from 3 exons.